AUGCAAUUCAGUGGAAAAAGGCAGCAGGAAGAAAUUGAAUCCAUGGGGACAGGGAAGAACUUCAUUAUUGUAAUGGUGUUUAAUAAAAGAAUUUUUUUUAUUACAGAAGCUGUUUCUCUUAGAAAACAUGAAGCAACAUGGGCGAGGAAGUUGGCUAACAAUCAUCAUGAACAGAUGAUUCACGUGAAGAAGCAGAAAUUAUGUACUGACAAAUUAUCCAAGGUUCCAAAGGUCCUGUGAACCAAGCAGACAAAGCAAAGAGAUUUCUUCUUCCCCUCCUGACCCGUCUCAAGGUUGCUGGGCGCAAUGACAAUUACUGCCUUCCCUGCCAGCCCUGAAGGCCCCAGGCACCCAGCCAGGGAUGUGCUGUUGACUCUGAGGGAAGCCUAACAGCACACAGAGCUGGCUGUAAAAUCAGCAAGUCCUAAGUGGAGAACUUGGACCCAAACUGCUGCUGGAGUGCAAGACUCAAGACAUCCCCAUGACCAGGGAUGCCUGUACUGCUGGAGGUUUGAGGGAGUCACUUGUACUCUUGUAUAUGAAUGUGAGUCUAGAUUAUGGUUAUUAUAUUGAUACAGCAAACCACAUAUUAAGACCUGACUCAACCUGCAGAUGGUCUAGGUGAUUAGAAAUUGUAAGAUAAUUGCAUCGCAAGUGCUGUAUUAUGCAGUUAUAAAUUGUACUACAUUGAUUCUAGAAAUCCUGUGCCAUACUAACUGUAAAUUCCUUUCUAUACUAAUCCUAGUAGACUGUGAAUAAAAUAAAGUUUUAAUUGUAACUACA
This 783-nucleotide long non-coding RNA is filed under the name Junco hyemalis (dark-eyed junco). RNAcentral describes it as "lncRNA (ENSJHYG00000016577.1)". Lineage: Eukaryota; Metazoa; Chordata; Aves; Passeriformes; Passerellidae. The record is from RNAcentral.